CCUAACUUUGAUCAUCCUCACCGACUGUUCCUAGAGCAAGUGGCAAAGAGCUUGGUGUUGGUAUCCGAGACCCAAAUUCGAAUCCUAGUUGAUUCACAUUUUUAGCUAAGUUUAUUUCUAAAUGAAAUAAAACGAAACGGAUAGCGUGCUACCUAUCUCUCUCGAANUCUCGAAAAAAAAAAAAAAAAAACUUUGAUCAUCCUCAUCUCUUUUUUCU
This 217-nucleotide long non-coding RNA is filed under the name Ananas comosus (pineapple). Its description in RNAcentral is "long non-coding RNA (ACOM_LNC004459)". Lineage: Eukaryota; Viridiplantae; Streptophyta; Magnoliopsida; Poales; Bromeliaceae. The record is from RNAcentral.